AUUAAAUUAAUUAAAAAACGAAAUACAUUAUUAAUUUCCAAAAAUAAUAGCCAAUCAAAAUCAACAUAUAAGAUGUGAUAUCUAAAUUUUAAUUAAUUUAAUUUAAUUAGAAAAACGAAAUACAUUAUUAAUUUCCAAAAAAGUAACCAAUUAAAAUCAACAAAUUAUAUUUGGUAUCUAAAUUAUCAUAUUAAUUUUUUUAUUAAUUAUUAUAGUUCACUUCUCAUCUUUAUAUGAUUCUAUUUUUGCGGAAAAAUAAUAUCAUCACUAUAAAAAAAUAAUUAGAGUUUUUUCGCAUAUGCCAUAAUUUGAAUUUUUAAAAACGAAUAUAAACUGUUCAAUACAUGAAAUAAUAUUAUAACAGGUGAAAAAUAGAUUUAAGAAAACUUUCUACUGAGUAACGGGACAUAAUUUGAAAUAUUUAUAUUCAAUUUCAUACAUAUUAUAUAGAAAAUUUAUAAUCUUAUAUACUACAAUAAUUAAUAACAUAUUAGAUGUGAUUCAAUUUUUAAUACAAUCUGGAAAAUCUUAGAAUUAACGGGUUUAGAUCGAUAUUAAUACAAGAUAGUAUACUACAGGUAAAACUCUUAAAUUAACAAUCAAACUACAAGUGUAUAAUCUUAAACACUAAACAAUAUAGAUCAUAUCAACAAAACAUAUACAACUCACAGUUUACUAUACAUUUAAAAUCAAAUAAAAUAAUAUCAUAUAUUUUUAAAUCAUCUUUACAAUACAAGUUUUUAGUUUAACUAAAAUAUAAGCCUACCUGCGGUAUACUGCAGGUUAAUCUCUAGAUUAUAGGGCUUAUUGGAAAUACAUUAUUAAUUUCCAAAAAAGUAACCAAUUAAAAUCAACAAAUUAUAUUUGGUAUCUAAAUUAUCAUAUUAAUUUUUUUAUUAAUUAUUAUAGUUCACUUCUCAUCUUUAUAUGAUUCUAUUUUUGCGGAAAAAUAAUAUCAUCAUUAUAAAAAAAUAAUUAGAGUUUUUUCGCAUAUGCCAUCAUUUAAAUUUUUAAAAACGAAUAUAAACUGUUCAAUACAUGAAAUAAUAUUAUAACAGGUGAAAAAUAGAUUUAAGAAAACUUUCUACUGAGUAACGGGACAUAAUUUGAAAUAUUUAUAUUCAAUUUCAUACAUAUUAUAUAGAAAAUUUAUAAUCUUAUAUACUACAAUAAUUAAUAAUAUAUUAGAUGUGAUUCAAUUUUUAAUACAAUCUGGAAAAUCCUAGAAUUAACGGGUUUAGAUCGAUAUUAAUACAAGAUGGUAUACUACAGGUAAAACUCUUAAAUUAACAAUCAAACUACAAGUGUAUAAUCUUAAACACUAAACAACAUAGAUAAUAUCAACAAAACAUAUACAACUCACAGUUUACUAUACAUUUAAAAUCAAAUAAAAUAAUAUCAUAUAUUUUUAAAUCAUCUUUACUAUAAAAGUUUUUAGUUUAACUAAAAUAUAAGCCUACCUGCGGUAUACUGCAGGUUAAUCUCUAGAUUAUAGGGCUUAUUGGAUCUAAAGACGGAUCAUCAAAGAUUUCUUAAACUGAAGCAAAAUAUAUUGAAUAUUCAAAUAUCUAUCUGUUAUCAAAUUAUAAACAAAUAAGUCAAUUUAAUAUUUUAUAUACGAAAUCAAUUAAAUCUUAAUCACAUAAAAAUUAGUUUUUAAUUUUUUAUCGCAAUAUCAAUGUUUUCUUAUCUCUAUAGUAUUUUUGCAAGACUUUUUUGGUGGAUUUGGAUAAAAGUGCAUUCGGGUCAUAUGGUACAUUCUCCUAUCAAAUAAAUAUGGUGCACUCCUAUGUUAUUAGCUAAAAUAUUUAGAUUAUAAUUCAGAGUCAUAUCAUUAAUAAAACUAAUAUUAAUAAAAUAAAUGAUUUUUUAGCAAGACGGAUUUGGAGGGACGGGUUUUUGAAUCAACAUUAAUAAAAAAGUAAAAUAUAAUUAAUCCACCGUUUUAAUAUGGGUUAAAUCUUUAAUUUAUUAUUUUCUAAGACCACUAAUAUUAAACAUAUCAAAUCAUCCUAAUUUAGAAAAAAUUAUAUAAAACCAAAAAUGUUAUGUGGUAUGUAUAAUGUUACUAUAUAUAAAAUUAAACUAUAAAAUAUAAAUGUAUUAGAGAAUGAUACAAUUUGCAAAACUUUUAUAUAAAAAAAAU
This 2146-nucleotide small RNA is filed under the name Arabidopsis thaliana (thale cress). RNAcentral's name for it is "ATSL051610". The record is from RNAcentral. Lineage: Eukaryota; Viridiplantae; Streptophyta; Magnoliopsida; Brassicales; Brassicaceae.